GAAGGUGGCCUGUGAGGGUUGCUGGAGGUAUCAGAAGUGCGAAUGCUGACAUAAGUAACGAUAAAGCGGGUGAAAAGCCCGCUCGCCGGAAGACCAAGGGUUCCUGUCCAACGUUAAUCGGGGCAGGGUGAGUCGACCCCUAAGGCGAGGCCGAAAGGCGUAGUCGAUGGGAAACGGGUUAAUAUUCCCGUACUUGGUGUUACUGCGAAGGGGGGACGGAGAAGGCUAUGUUGGCCGGGCGACGGUUGUCCCGGUUUAAGCGUGUAGGUGUGUGUUCCAGGUAAAUCCGGUUCACUUUAACACUGAGGCGUGAUGACGAGGCACUACGGUGCUGAAGCAACAAAUGCCCUGCUUCCAGGAAAAGCCUCUAAGCAUCAGGUAACAUCAAAUCGUACCCCAAACCGACACAGGUGGUCAGGUAGAGAAUACCAAGGCGCUUGAGAGAACUCGGGUGAAGGAACUAGGCAAAAUGGUGCCGUAACUUCGGGAGAAGGCACGCUGACACGUAGGUGAAGUGAUUUACUCAUGGAGCUGAAGUCAGUCGAAGAUACCAGCUGGCUGCAACUGUUUAUUAAAAACACAGCACUGUGCAAACACGAAAGUGGACGUAUACGGUGUGACGCCUGCCCGGUGCCGGAAGGUUAAUUGAUGGGGUCAGCGCAAGCGAAGCUCCUGAUCGAAGCCCCGGUAAACGGCGGCCGUAACUAUAACGGUCCUAAGGUAGCGAAAUUCCUUGUCGGGUAAGUUCCGACCUGCACGAAUGGCGUAAUGAUGGCCAGGCUGUCUCCACCCGAGACUCAGUGAAAUUGAACUCGCUGUGAAGAUGCAGUGUACCCGCGGCAAGACGGAAAGACCCCGUGAACCUUUACUAUAGCUUGACACUGAACAUUGAGCCUUGAUGUGUAGGAUAGGUGGGAGGCUUUGAAGUGUGGACGCCAGUCUGCAUGGAGCCGACCUUGAAAUACCACCCUUUAAUGUUUGAUGUUCUAACGUGGACCCGUAAUCCGGGUUGCGGACAGUGUCUGGUGGGUAGUUUGACUGGGGCGGUCUCCUCCUAAAGAGUAACGGAGGAGCACGAAGGUUGGCUAAUCCUGGUCGGACAUCAGGAGGUUAGUGCAAUGGCAUAAGCCAGCUUGACUGCGAGCGUGACGGCGCGAGCAGGUGCGAAAGCAGGUCAUAGUGAUCCGGUGGUUCUGAAUGGAAGGGCCAUCGCUCAACGGAUAAAAGGUACUCCGGGGAUAACAGGCUGAUACCGCCCAAGAGUUCAUAUCGACGGCGGUGUUUGGCACCUCGAUGUCGGCUCAUCACAUCCUGGGGCUGAAGUAGGUCCCAAGGGUAUGGCUGUUCGCCAUUUAAAGUGGUACGCGAGCUGGGUUUAGAACGUCGUGAGACAGUUCGGUCCCUAUCUGCCGUGGGCGCUGGAGAACUGAGGGGGGCUGCUCCUAGUACGAGAGGACCGGAGUGGACGCAUCACUGGUGUUCGGGUUGUCAUGCCAAUGGCACUGCCCGGUAGCUAAAUGCGGAAGAGAUAAGUGCUGAAAGCAUCUAAGCACGAAACUUGCCCCGAGAUGAGUUCUCCCUGAGACUUAGAGUCUCCUGAAGGAACGUUGAAGACGACGACGUUGAUAGGCCGGGUGUGUAAGCGCAGCGAUGCGUUGAGCUAACCGGUACUAAUGAACCGUGAGGCUUAACCUU
This 1695-nucleotide ribosomal RNA is filed under the name Salmonella enterica. RNAcentral's name for it is "partial 23S ribosomal RNA". It matches the Rfam family "Bacterial large subunit ribosomal RNA", at positions 1252 to 2925 of the family's 2925-position model. The record is from RNAcentral. RNAcentral also lists the same sequence under 23 other names. Lineage: Bacteria; Pseudomonadati; Pseudomonadota; Gammaproteobacteria; Enterobacterales; Enterobacteriaceae.